CGGGACACGUGGUAUCCUGUCUGAAUAUGGGGGGACCAUCCUCCAAGGCUAAAUACUCCUGACUGACCGAUAGUGAACCAGUACCGUGAGGGAAAGGCGAAAAGAACCCCGGCGAGGGGAGUGAAAAAGAACCUGAAACCGUGUACGUACAAGCAGUGGGAGCACGCUUAGGCGUGUGACUGCGUACCUUUUGUAUAAUGGGUCAGCGACUUAUAUUCUGUAGCAAGGUUAACCGAAUAGGGGAGCCGAAGGGAAACCGAGUCUUAACUGGGCGUUAAGUUGCAGGGUAUAGACCCGAAACCCGGUGAUCUAGCCAUGGGCAGGUUGAAGGUUGGGUAACACUAACUGGAGGACCGAACCGACUAAUGUUGAAAAAUUAGCGGAUGACUUGUGGCUGGGGGUGAAAGGCCAAUCAAACCGGGAGAUAGCUGGUUCUCCCCGAAAGCUAUUUAGGUAGCGCCUCGUGAAUUCAUCUCCGGGGGUAGAGCACUGUUUCGGCAAGGGGGUCAUCCCGACUUACCAACCCGAUGCAAACUGCGAAUACCGGAGAAUGUUAUCACGGGAGACACACGGCGGGUGCUAACGUCCGUCGUGAAGAGGGAAACAACCCAGACCGCCAGCUAAGGUCCCAAAGUCAUGGUUAAGUGGGAAACGAUGUGGGAAGGCCCAGACAGCCAGGAUGUUGGCUUAGAAGCAGCCAUCAUUUAAAGAAAGCGUAAUAGCUCACUGGUCGAGUCGGCCUGCGCGGAAGAUGUAACGGGGCUAAACCAUGCACCGAAGCUGCGGCAGCGACGCUGAUGCGUUGUUGGGUAGGGGAGCGUUCUGUAAGCCUGUGAAGGUGUGCUGUGAGGCAUGCUGGAGGUAUCAGAAGUGCGAAUGCUGACAUAAGUAACGAUAAAGCGGGUGAAAAGCCCGCUCGCCGGAAGACCAAGGGUUCCUGUCCAACGUUAAUCGGGGCAGGGUGAGUCGACCCCUAAGGCGAGGCCGAAAGGCGUAGUCGAUGGGAAACAGGUUAAUAUUCCUGUACUUGGUGUUACUGCGAAGGGGGGACGGAGAAGGCUAUGUUGGCCGGGCGACGGUUGUCCCGGUUUAAGCGUGUAGGCUGGUUUUCCAGGCAAAUCCGGAAAAUCAAGGCUGAGGCGUGAUGACGAGGCACUACGGUGCUGAAGCAACAAAUGCCCUGCUUCCAGGAAAAGCCUCUAAGCAUCAGGUAACAUCAAAUCGUACCCCAAACCGACACAGGUGGUCAGGUAGAGAAUACCAAGGCGCUUGAGAGAACUCGGGUGAAGGAACUAGGCAAAAUGGUGCCGUAACUUCGGGAGAAGGCACGCUGAUAUGUAGGUGAAGCGACUUGCU
RNAcentral lists this ribosomal RNA (1356 nucleotides) under Escherichia coli. Its description in RNAcentral is "partial 23S ribosomal RNA". It matches the Rfam family "Bacterial large subunit ribosomal RNA", at positions 418 to 1774 of the family's 2925-position model. Lineage: Bacteria; Pseudomonadati; Pseudomonadota; Gammaproteobacteria; Enterobacterales; Enterobacteriaceae. The record is from RNAcentral.